This 719-nucleotide ribosomal RNA is filed under the name Salmonella enterica. RNAcentral's name for it is "partial 23S ribosomal RNA". It matches the Rfam family "Bacterial large subunit ribosomal RNA", at positions 2203 to 2916 of the family's 2925-position model. Lineage: Bacteria; Pseudomonadati; Pseudomonadota; Gammaproteobacteria; Enterobacterales; Enterobacteriaceae. The record is from RNAcentral.
CCCUUUAAUGUUUGAUGUUCUAACGUGGACCCGUAAUCCGGGUUGCGGACAGUGUCUGGUGGGUAGUUUGACUGGGGCGGUCUCCUCCUAAAGAGUAACGGAGGAGCACGAAGGUUGGCUAAUCCUGGUCGGACAUCAGGAGGUUAGUGCAAUGGCAUAAGCCAGCUUGACUGCGAGCGUGACGGCGCGAGCAGGUGCGAAAGCAGGUCAUAGUGAUCCGGUGGUUCUGAAUGGAAGGGCCAUCGCUCAACGGAUAAAAGGUACUCCGGGGAUAACAGGCUGAUACCGCCCAAGAGUUCAUAUCGACGGCGGUGUUUGGCACCUCGAUGUCGGCUCAUCACAUCCUGGGGCUGAAGUAGGUCCCAAGGGUAUGGCUGUUCGCCAUUUAAAGUGGUACGCGAGCUGGGUUUAGAACGUCGUGAGACAGUUCGGUCCCUAUCUGCCGUGGGCGCUGGAAGACUGAGGGGGGCUGCUCCUAGUACGAGAGGACCGGAGUGGACGCAUCACUGGUGUUCGGGUUGUCAUGCCAAUGGCACUGCCCGGUAGCUAAAUGCGGAAAAGAUAAGUGCUGAAAGCAUCUAAGCACGAAACUUGCCCCGAGAUGAGUCUUCCCUGAGACUUUGAGUCUCCUGAAGGAACGUUAAAGACGAUGACGUUGAUAGGCCGGGUGUGUAAGCGCAGCGAUGCGUUGAGCUAACCGGUACUAAUGAACCGUGAGG